Molecule: ribosomal RNA, 619 nt
Filed under: uncultured bacterium
Lineage: Bacteria
Description: bacterial SSU rRNA
Rfam family: Bacterial small subunit ribosomal RNA
Source: RNAcentral
GGUGUGUAGGCGGUUGCUUAAGUUUGGUGUGAAAUCUCCCGGCUCAACUGGGAGGGUGCGCCGAAUACUGAGUGACUCGAGUGCGGGAGAGGAAAGUGGAAUUCCUGGUGUAGCGGUGAAAUGCGUAGAUAUCAGGAGGAACACCGGUGGUGUAGACGGCUUUCUGGACCGUAACUGACGCUGAGACACGAAAGCGUGGGUAGCAAACAGGAUUAGAUACCCUGGUAGUCCACGCCCUAAACGAUGCACAUUUGGUGUGGGCAGUUCAUUCUGUCCGUGCCGGAGCUAACGCGUUAAAUGUGCCGCCUGGGGAGUACAGUCGCAAGGCUGAAACUCAAAGGAAUUGACGGGGGCCCGCACAAGCGGUGGAGCAUGUGGUUCAAUUCGACGCAACGCGAAGAACCUUACCUGGGCUCGAACGGCUGGUCAACGGCGGUGGAAACAUCGCUACCCCGCAAGGGGGUCCAGUCGAGGUGCUGCAUGGCUGUCGUCAGCUCGUGUCGUGAGAUGUUGGGUUAAGUCCCGCAACGAGCGCAACCCUUGUCCUGUGUUGCCAUGCCGAAAGGCGGAACUCGCAGGAGACCGCCAGCGAUAAGCUGGAGGAAGGUGGGGAUGACGU